CCGACGGUGAGAGGCGAAAGCUGGGGGAGCAAACCGGAUUAGAUACCCGGGUAGUCCCAGCCGUAAACGAUGUGCGUUAGGUGUAUCGGUGACCACGAGUCACCGAGGUGCCGAAGAGAAAUCGUGAAACGUACCGCCUGGGAAGUACGGUCGCAAGGCUGAAACUUAAAGGAAUUGGCGGGGGAGCACCACAACAGGUGGAGCCUGCGGUUUAAUCGGACUCAACGCCGGAAAACUCACCAGAUAAGACAGCUGAAUGAUAGUCGGGCUGAAGACUCUACUUGACUAGCUGAGAGGAGGUGCAUGGCCGUCGUCAGUUCGUACUGUGAAGCAUCCUGUUAAGUCAGGCAGCGAGCGAGACCCACGCCAACAGUUGCU
Molecule: ribosomal RNA, 378 nt
Filed under: uncultured archaeon
Lineage: Archaea
Description: bacterial SSU rRNA
Rfam family: Archaeal small subunit ribosomal RNA
Source: RNAcentral